This 425-nucleotide ribosomal RNA is filed under the name uncultured bacterium. RNAcentral's name for it is "bacterial SSU rRNA". It matches the Rfam family "Bacterial small subunit ribosomal RNA", at positions 358 to 774 of the family's 1533-position model. The record is from RNAcentral.
GGAAUCUUCGGCAAUGGGGGCAACCCUGACCGAGCAACGCCGCGUGAGUGAAGAAGGUUUUCGGAUCGUAAAGCUCUGUUGUAAGAGAAGAACGUGUGUGAGAGUGGAAAGUUCACACAGUGACGGUAACUUACCAGAAAGGGACGGCUAACUACGUGCCAGCAGCCGCGGUAAUACGUAGGUGGCAAGCGUUGUCCGGAUUUAUUGGGCGUAAAGCGAGCGCAGGCGGUUUUUUAAGUCUGAUGUGAAAGCCUUCGGCUCAACCGAAGAAGUGCAUCGGAAACUGGGAAACUUGAGUGCAGAAGGGGAGAGUGGAAUUCCAUGUGUAGCGGUGAAAUGCGUAGAUAUAUGGAGGAACACCGGUGGCGAAAGCGGCUCUCUGGUCUGUAACUGACGCUGAGGCUCGAAAGCGUGGGGAGCAAACA